GAAUUGCUGAAGUUGUGAAGGUUGAUGCUGUGAAUGCGCUCGGUCAUCCCCUUGCAACUGAUGUCACCUGCAGCAUGUCAACGCAGACACAAAACAGGGCAUGGGUCAGAUCUAGCUGGUUGCAUUCCUAACACCUAGGUUUCAGAGUAAAAAUACAGAGUCAGCUUGUGAUGGCAUUCCCUCAAAACAUGGAAGGAAUUGCAGUAAUGAAAGUCAUCAUGUAUUCUAAGAGACUGUUCUGCGAGAGCACAACACAGACGGGGCUAAAGCAGGGAUUGUCUAAGCCCAGUGUGGAGGAACCAUCAAGGAUUUCAGCACGUUUUUUUAGCCAUUGUGAGAAGCAAAAGUGCUCAGGAGUUAAGAGAAGCAGACGUCCGAAAUUAUCUCCAUGCAUUACCAAAAACCGUGGGCACCACGGCACGGGGAAAACUUACCAGGUACAAUGAGCCAGUGACUGUUACUGAAUUUCUUAAGAUUACACUUUUCCCAACUACUGCAGACUGCUUCAGAAUAGAAGAAGACAACUCUCAUGCCAUCAAGCCGACGGACUUUCAAAAAAAUAAAAGAUGCAUUUCUUUACUUCUUUACUAAGGGAAUUAAUUAUCUGGAAGAACAGGAACAUACAGGCCCAUGAGAAGUAAAAGCAGGCACUGGCAUUCUGCACAGAUGAAAUACUUCCUACGACAGGAAUACAUGCUCACUUGUGGACUUCUCUGUAAUCUGUAGGCAACAUCAGCUCCUGAUUUCUAGGUCUGGAUCUGGGUUCUCUGUAGCACAGGAAGGUCUCUACUUCUCCUACAUAAAUGCCUUGCAUGGCGGGAACUAAAUCAACUACACAGACCCAUACAUCCAGAGAGCAGAGGUGAGCUGGAUACAAGUGGCUUAGAGAUGUGGUGGAAGGAGGCCAGAGCUCCAAGGGAAGGGCAGCAAGGAGACAACAGCAUGGGUUGCAGCUCAGACAACAGGUAAAUAAAACCAAGCAAAGCUGCUGGUCACAGAUUUGACCAGGGUGGCAAGAAAUGACAAGCUACCAUGAGAUUCAACAGUGGCACGGAAGGAUGAUGAGAAGCAAACAGAUUAGGAGAAGCUGCCACCACCGUACAUAGAGGCACAGAUGACCAAGCAGAACAGCACCAGUCCCUGCAAGGUGUGCUCAGAUACAGCUCAGCACAGCCAUCUGGCCAGGAGGGAAUGAUAAUGCACAUGGUGUGCACUGCAGCCGGGAAGUUGAGAACCGCUGUGGGCACCUCAGGACUGAGUCUGGUUACCCUGCUGAUCCAAGAAAUGAAGCCAUCUAAAAUUUUGCCUGCUUUCACAAUUUUCUGUGUGUGUGUGUGUGUAUUAAACAAAGUGAACUAAGAAGC
RNAcentral lists this long non-coding RNA (1364 nucleotides) under Homo sapiens (human). Its description in RNAcentral is "HSALNT0313899". Lineage: Eukaryota; Metazoa; Chordata; Mammalia; Primates; Hominidae. The record is from RNAcentral.